UUUUGAGCCAUGUGUUAAGAGUUGUGUUGCUUGGAAUGAGUUUUGCAGGUGAUGUGAACUGUUUAGCUCAGGUGACUGUUGGUAGUGCAGACUGUGGUUAGAGUUUUGCACAUGUGACUCCAGUUGUGCCCGCUGUCGUUUAGCAAUCGAAAAAAACUGUAAUUAUCACAGACAAAGUGUCACAAAGUGCAGUGCAGUGGUCAAAUAAAAGACAUUGGCAAUAACAGGGGCCAAAACAUUCCAACAGUUAAAAGAGCAAAGUACAAAACACUGUAAAAGAUGGUGCAGUAAAAAACUCAAUAAAACAAAUAAGAAAAAUAAACAAAAAAAGAUUUUUUUAAAGCAGGCCGUAGAAUAUGUAAUUUAACCGAAUGCCAGUGUAAACAGGGAUAUGUUUACACUGGAGAGGAGGAUCUAGUAUGUGUAUAUCUUUUUAUUCAAACUGGGAACAAAAAUUACAAAGUGCUUCGAGCUGGUUUUGUAUAAUUCAUAAGUAUUCAUUCACAUAUACACUCCCCCAAAAGAGUGAAAACGAAGAAUUUGGUUAAACAUUAAAAGUCUAAUUUGUUCUCUUUUUGCUGUAACUGUCACUUCCUUUGCGUUGUGAAGCUUUAUUCACAGCAUGGCCCAGAACCUCAAGGAGAGACGUCUGCAUUGUUCUUUUCUGUUCUCUCUCUCAAAUAAACGUAAACAACCUCCACGCCAGUCGGCUUUUCCAACACAGCCAAACGCGUCUUAUGGAUCUGAAUUAGUCCGGCAGCUCUGAUUGUUAUUCAGGACACAAACGUCCUCCUCCAGGCGGAGUUGGUGCACAACGUUCCUGUGGAUGAAUCAGGAGGGAGGAACGCCGCCGGAGAACAAAGCACAGCGUCUGUGGGUUUGAACCUCUCCGGGCCUCUGGCUGUGUCGACUUCAUCCCUCACCGUCAGAGACGUGCACGUGAAGUGGAAAGGGGGAACACCAAAUCUCCUUCUUGAAUGCGGUUGUCUAAACGCGUGUUGGCCCUCACACGGCCUGUCAUCAGCCGGAUAACCAAGUGAUGGAUGCUUGCCCUGAAUGUUUAAGACAAGGCGGGAAAAUGAAACACUGGCUCCUCCAGGGAGGUAACUUCACUACUUCUCGAGGGCCCUUGGAAAAGGAAGGAGAGCACGUGGGAGUUGUCUUGAUCUUUGUAAUGCAGUCAAGCUGUAGGCCUGUCAAGCCAAGAAACAAAAUAAACACAGAUAAUUAGA
Molecule: long non-coding RNA, 1232 nt
Organism: Pseudoliparis swirei
Lineage: Eukaryota; Metazoa; Chordata; Actinopteri; Perciformes; Liparidae
Exons: 2
Source: RefSeq, a predicted model, not a curated record